Molecule: long non-coding RNA, 3920 nt
Organism: Oryzias javanicus (javanese ricefish)
Lineage: Eukaryota; Metazoa; Chordata; Actinopteri; Beloniformes; Adrianichthyidae
Source: Ensembl
GCGGCCAGUCUCAGUGGUUCAGAGCAGACGAGACCGGAGGUUCUGCGGCGCCGCGGUCUGGCAGCAGGCGGCAGCGCGAUUGGAGCGGCGCGAUCAACGCAGAAUAACAAUGUUCCCGGUUCAUGGCUUCCCUGGACAACAACACUUCUGUAAUCUCCUGGAUAUUGUGAGGAAGAAGGGAGGAUCUUGCAGAGAAAAGAUUCAACACACACUCAAGGCUCUGGACCAGACUAACCCCUGUAAUGCAGAAUCAACCUGAGUCUCUCAUUCCUGGAGCGGUUUAUGAACAGUGAAGAUCCAGACCAGACUCCAGAGUGAACAGGAUCUCCUGCAGUCCUCCUGAACCUCCUUCACCAGGAUCGGGGACGUGGGUGGGGGGCUGUCAUUGAGACCCUGGUGUUUCUCUUCUGGCUGCUGAGCGGAGCGUCCUGCAGGGUGGUCUCCAGAGUGUUUGGAUGUCUCGUUCCACUGUCCACUGAGGAGGUGGUGGUCCUUCACCUUCCAAAAACCCCUGAGGACCUGGAGGUGGUGUCCCGUGGGUUUGCAGGGCUGACACGGCUCAGAGCUUCAGGUUCAUGGAUGGAUCCCACAUCAGGAUCAGACCUCCUAGUGACCCUGAUGGUCACUGCUACAGAAACAGAGAACUCCUCCCUCCAUCAUCCUGCAGGCUGUGGGACCAUCGGGGCUGCUUCAUGACACCCAUGUGGGCCGGCCCGGGUCGGUGCAUGACUCCAGGGUGCUCCGCCACAGUCUACUGUACAGGCAGUCGGUCUCCCCUCCUCCGGGGGACUUCAUCCUUGCAGAUGGUGGAUACUCAUGCCUCCAACGUCCACUCCCCCAUCACUCCCUCCAAACAGGUGAAUGAAGGUGUUGCAGGCCAGAGCUUCAACAGUCAUCAUUCCAUAAACACGCUCGAUUAGAGAGUUUGCUUUUGGAAUGAUGAAGACAAGAUUCAGAGGAAUCUUCCUGCAAGUGCUGGAGGUUCAUCACACCUUUGUACCUCACAUAAGUCAACAAACACAGCAGCAUUUUAUGUUCUUUGGAAUAUAUUUCUAUUCAUUUAUAGAUUUAAUGUAUUUAUUGCAGGUUGUCACAGCUUGUGCUGUCCUGCAUAAUAUCUGCCCCUGUGCUGACGACACCGAGGCCCCAGAGGAAGAUGUGGAGGUGAUGAUGAUGAGGAGGAGGAGGAGGAGGCUGGUUUGGAGGUCAUCAGCGGUCCUCUCUGGCAGGACCAACUACCUGCUGAGGUUUCUGUCCUGGGGGAGGUACAACCAGACCUUCAUUACUGGUAACAGCAUCCGUGGACAGCCAGCCCUGCAAACUCUGAAGAUGGACGAUGCAGUCUACAGUCUCUGCAGAUCAUCCUGCAAGAUGUUCCAAUCACCACCCAGAAAGUUCCAGCUGGGGUCUCAGUUGAAGCCCCCCAUCCAUGUCAACACAUCUUUGUAAAUAGUUGGAAAUAAAAGUGUUGCAUUAAUAAUGAUUACUGUGUUGGAUUUAUACCUUUAUUUAAAUUAACAAAGCAGACAUUUGUAAUAGUGGACUUCCUACUAACCUUCUCCUGAUGCUGGAUACUUACAAUCCUGAACACAGAAUCAUCAUAGACAGCAGAAAAAAGAAGAGACAAACCUUUUUGUAACAUGCAUAUUUAACGUGUAUCAAACAUGUUAUAUUCUUCACCACACAUCAACAUACUUUGUAUUUUUUUAAGUUGUCCGACUGUUUUUUGGCCUGUAAGGGGAAACCUUUUCCAUCAGAUCCAUUUUCUCCAGGAAAAACCCAAAACAUAGAGGGAGAGAUGACAGGUUAAUCCUUCUCAAAAAUGUUUCACAUUAAAACACAAAAGACACUAAACUCUACUGCAGGGGUCACCAACUGUUCCUGCUCGAUUUACAGCUAAGCUUGUUUAAAAUACUUCUGCUCACCUGGAUCAGGUAUGUUCAAUCAAUCACAAACUGAACUAAUUCAGUCCAGCUAACCAUCAAUGACUGAAGCAGAGUUGUUACAUUUCAGAUUAAAAUAAAGUUCAAAUAAAGCCCCUGAAGUAUCGAGCACCUGUUAGACUCUGUGUUUAUAUGAGACUCCUGUCAGCUAGAGAAGACCACUACUGGAAGAUAUAUGGUACAUUCAAAACUGUCAUUAUAGAAAGUUUGAAUUGUACCUUUUAGAAGGAAGCCAUGUGGACAGACAGCUAUCUCAACACCUUCCUCAUCAAGCUUGUUGGCUUGCUUUGAUGUCUCUGGUCCAGCAGAUCAUUGUGAGUUUCCACAAGCGGCUUUUCCACCAGUCUAAUAAAAAUAAAUUAGAUAACUUGACUGCAAACUUUGAAAUUGUGCACCAUAAAAGACAAUACAUGAAAAUAUGAUGCUUUCUUUGGAUUUACAUUCAAAUUUGGACUUGCUUAACUUAUAUAGCUGUAGACUCUGGGUCAAAAGAAUCAACAUUCUCUAAAAAAAACUUGUGAAUUUACAAGUUUAAUAAAAUGUACAAACACUUUUGACAACACGGCGUACUUCAGCAACAAAAGCUUCAACCUCAGAAUCUUCUGCUAGAAAGACAGCAUCAAAAAACCCAGCCUGGUCAUCCCUGAGAAAAAGUGAAAAAGAAGAAGCUUAGUUUUAAGAAUGAUGUGGGGGGGGGAUUAAACACACCUGUUGGAAGUUUGGAAACGGUACAAUUUUCUGUUGCCAUUGAAAGAAACAACCAACUGGUCUGGAACACAAGCUGGACACACAAACCAGUCCUCCAUGCCACUUAGCUGCUCCUCCUCAAAUUUACAGUGAAUAUACUGCAAAAAGCUUCUUUGAAAGGCAUCAGAAUUCACCUUUCCUUUCUGCAACAAAGAAGGAGAAACAUUGACCUUUACAGAAAAACAUUAUCAGCACUCAUCUGGUCAAGCAUUUGUAAACAUGCAAAAUAUUGACAGGUGAUGAAAAUAAAACCUUAAAAUGUCAUGGAAAAUGAUAGAAGUGAUAAACUCACUCUUCCAAAAUAUUUAGUUCUGUGAUCCAGCAUUGAUGUGAAAGCCUGUCUGGACGAUCCUGGUGCAGUCGUCUUCAUUUCUUAAAGGACUCAAACAAGUCCUGCUGAUAAAUGGUCUGAGCCUGCAUCGUUGAAGGCCAGUACCCACUUCUGACCAAAUCAGAAACUUCUGGGGUCCAGCAAUGACCUCAGUUGUUACAUGUGACAUCUGGUGUGUGAAGCUCAAAACGACCUGAGAUGACACAUCACUAAUGUUCUAAAAUGUUAUUUUCAAAUGAAAAAAAUAUGAUUUUUACAAACCAUUCAUGGUAAUGAGGAUUAUUGGUCUGCCAGCAGAGAGUGUCACAACGCUGUCUUGGCAACAGUAACACAACAGGAAGGAAACUAGAUGUAUAGACAGAAAUAUAUUUUUAUGAAAUCUAUUAUGUGUUCUCUCUUGUGUGAUAGAAGAGUUUCAGCACAAAUGAAAGGAAAGAUGUAGAAGACUGUGGUGAGAGCAGCCAUGUUGUUGGACUAGAAACAGUGAAGAAAAGACAGGAAGCAGAGCUGGAGGUAGCAGAGAUGAAGAUGCUGAGGUUCUCUUUGGGAGUGACCAGGAUGGAUAGGAUCAGGAAUGAAUCCAUCAGAGGGACAGCACAUGUUAGAGGUUUUGGAGAUAAACCCUUCUCACUGCAUGAGAAACCUGGGCGUUCUUUUAGACUCUGAGCUGAAUUUUAUCCCUCACAUCAAAAAUGUCAUUAAGACAGGAUUUUAUCAUCUUAAAAACAUUGCCAGAGUCCGUCCAUUCCUCUCUCUCCAGCACAGAGGUGCUGAUGCUUUUAUUUUUAGUCGUUUAGAUUAUUGUAAUGCCCUGCUCUCUGGUUUACCUCAAAAGUCUCUUUCAAAUUUACAAUUAUUACAGAACUCAGCGGCACGAGUUCUGACGAGGACCAGGGGGC